UAUGGCUCAUAGAUUACUACAACAAUGGUUGCAGGUAUAGGUAAAGCGAUGCCCUGACGUGAGAGCGAAGCUUGUUUGAUUUGGAUUUCUUCAUCUUCAUCAUCAAUUAUAGGAUGGGUAUCAGGCCAGCAACCUGGGAUUAGCAACGAUGGAAGUCGCUUUUAUCAUUUCAUUUCAUCCAUAGUCGGACACUACUCUUCUAUAUAGUGAUUUAAUUGUUCUUGUAUUGAGAUGUUCAUGUUUUAGCUUUUGGCGAGGGUAAGCCAAUUCCAUAUACUCAUCUCCUCUUUACAUGUACUUGUAAUUAUAUCCAUUCUUGUGAAAUGACGAGAUGCGCUUCUAUCCCUAUCGAGGCCCUCAAGCCAAAAUAAGGAUAGGACCGCAUCUUGG
Molecule: long non-coding RNA, 390 nt
Filed under: Hordeum vulgare
Lineage: Eukaryota; Viridiplantae; Streptophyta; Magnoliopsida; Poales; Poaceae
Description: long non-coding RNA (HVUL_LNC007348)
Source: RNAcentral